AACCAUAGAAACCUGCGGAGUACCUGCGGAAGGAUCAUUACCGAGUUUACAAACUCCCAACCCUAUGUGAACCUUACCAAUCGUUGCUUCGGCGGGCUUAGCCCCCGCGCCCUCGCCGGCGCCGGGAGAAAGGCGCCCGCCGGGGACCCCAAACCCAAUGUUUUUCAUGCAGUAUUUCUGAGUGGCAAACGCAAAAAUAAAUCAAAACUUUCAACAAUGGAUCUCAGAUCGGAAGAGCAC
This 240-nucleotide unclassified non-coding RNA is filed under the name soil metagenome. Its description in RNAcentral is "partial contains 5.8S ribosomal RNA, internal transcribed spacer 2, and large subunit ribosomal RNA". The record is from RNAcentral.